GCGCACCUCCAAGCGCACACCUGCGCGCGCCACUCCAAUCAAUCAGCAAUCUGCACACCUGAAGCUGAUGAGACGCCGGGCUUCUUAAGCCACACAGCAUUCCUCCGUUCCCUGAUGACAAGCUGUGUGUCUCGUCUCCCCGUAUUCCCCUCUGGUUCCCUGGCUGCCCCUUUUUGGAUCUCGACCUCCCACCUGGACACAGACUUUUGACACCUCGCUCUUGCCCCUGACCUCCUGCCUGUCUCUGGACCUUUGAGCCUGCCUUGCCCUAUUUUGUACUUCCGCACCUCGCUCAACACUCCCGGUAACACUCAGUUAAUCACUACACAUAGUCGCACACCACACAUAUUUGGAUUAGUUACACACUUCAUAUUAUUGUUUUUAAAUAAUAGAGCUAAAAUGACGUCCCUGCAUCUGUGCCGUUUCCUUCUUCCCUUCCUGUACUGUAAAAUAGUUUUGUCUAUUCUAUAAAUGUUAACAGACACUUAAAGGGGAAAUGCACUUUUUUUUUUUUUCAGAUUUUGCCAAUUUUUCACAAUUAGAGAUGUCCGAUAAUAUGCGUUAAAAUGUAAUAUCGAAAAUGAUCGGUAUCGUUUUCUUUAUUAUCGGUAUCGUUUUUUUUUUUUUUUU
Molecule: non-coding RNA, 630 nt
Organism: Nerophis lumbriciformis (worm pipefish)
Lineage: Eukaryota; Metazoa; Chordata; Actinopteri; Syngnathiformes; Syngnathidae
Source: RefSeq, a predicted model, not a curated record